This 346-nucleotide ribosomal RNA is filed under the name uncultured Desulfobulbus sp. RNAcentral's name for it is "bacterial SSU rRNA". It matches the Rfam family "Bacterial small subunit ribosomal RNA", at positions 1036 to 1382 of the family's 1533-position model. Lineage: Bacteria; Pseudomonadati; Thermodesulfobacteriota; Desulfobulbia; Desulfobulbales; Desulfobulbaceae. The record is from RNAcentral.
CAGUGCUGCAUGGCUGUCGUCAGCUCGUGUCGUGAGAUGUUGGGUUAAGUCCCGCACGAGCGCAACCCUUGCCUUUAGUUGCCAGCAGUUCGGCUGGGCACUCUAAAGGGACUGCCGGGUGUUAAACCGGAGGAAGGUGGGGAUGACGUCAAGUCCUCAUGGCCUUUAUGACCAGGGCUACACACGUACUACAAUGGCCGAUACAAAGGGCAGCGACACUGCGAGGUGAAGCCAAUCCCGUAAAAUCGGUCUCAGUCCGGAUUGGAGUCUGCAACUCGACUCCAUGAAGUUGGAAUCGCUAGUAAUCGUGGAUCAGCAUGCCACGGUGAAUACGUUCCCGGGCCUU